CAGCAGCCGCGGGAAUACGUAGGGUGCAAGCGUUAAUCGGAAUUACUGGGCGUAAAGCGUGCGCAGGCGGUUAUAUAAGUCGGAUGUGAAAUCCCCGGGCUCAACCUGGGAAUUGCAUUUGAGACUGUAUCGCUAGAGUGUGUCAGAGGGGGGUAGAAUUCCACGUGUAGCAGUGAAAUGCGUAGAUAUGUGGAGGAAUACCGAUGGCGAAGGCAGCCCCCUGGGAUAACACUGACGCUCAUGCACGAAAGCGUGGGGAGCAAACAGGAUUAGAUACCCCUGUAGUCCCUGUCUCUUAUAC
RNAcentral lists this ribosomal RNA (301 nucleotides) under uncultured bacterium. RNAcentral's name for it is "partial 16S ribosomal RNA". It matches the Rfam family "Bacterial small subunit ribosomal RNA", at positions 509 to 807 of the family's 1533-position model. The record is from RNAcentral.